This 497-nucleotide ribosomal RNA is filed under the name uncultured bacterium. RNAcentral's name for it is "partial 16S ribosomal RNA". It matches the Rfam family "Bacterial small subunit ribosomal RNA", at positions 28 to 507 of the family's 1533-position model. The record is from RNAcentral.
GAUGAACGCUGGCGGCGUGCCUAACACAUGCAAGUCGAACGAGCGGACGAUAAGCUUUCUUUUCUGGUUUUAGCGGCGGACGGGUGAGUAACACGUGUAUAACCUACCCAUAGGUCUGGGAUAACCUCGUGAAACCGGAGCUAAUACCGGGUAAUCUUUUGAACCCCAAGGUGCAAGACUCGAUGGCUUCCUUGCUUUUGCUUUUCCAUGGAUCCGUGCUGCAUUAGCUAGUUGGUCAGGUAACGGCUUACCAAGGCAACGAUGCAUAGCCGAGCUGAGAGGGUGAUCGGCCACACUGGAACUGAGACACGGUCCAGACUCCUACGGGAGGCAGCAGUGGGGAAUCUUGCGCAAUGGGCGAAAGCCUGACGGAGCGACGCCGCGUGGGUGAAGAAGGUCUUCGGAUCGUAAAGCUCUGUUAUGAGGGAAGAACAGAUGUGUGAGUAACUGUGCUCAUCUUGACGGUACCCGAUGAGGAAGCCCCGGCUAACUACGUG